GAAACUAUAGUCAAUAUACUAUAUGACAUAUAAUUUGCACUUAUAAAGAGUUUUAAACUAGUUUCA
This 66-nucleotide transfer RNA is filed under the name Tenuilapotamon latilum. RNAcentral describes it as "tRNA-Ala". The record is from RNAcentral. Lineage: Eukaryota; Metazoa; Arthropoda; Malacostraca; Decapoda; Potamidae.